This 252-nucleotide ribosomal RNA is filed under the name uncultured bacterium. RNAcentral describes it as "partial 16S ribosomal RNA". It matches the Rfam family "Bacterial small subunit ribosomal RNA", at positions 524 to 776 of the family's 1533-position model. The record is from RNAcentral.
UACGUAGGGGGCAAGCGUUGUCCGGAAUCAUUGGGCGUAAAGAGCGUGUAGGCGGCCAGAUAAGUCCGCUGUGAAAAUCUCGAGGCUCAACUUCGAGCUGUCGGUGGAAACUGUCUGGCUAGAGUCCGGAAGAGGAGAAUGGAAUUCCUGGUGUAGCGGUGAAAUGCGCAGAUAUCAGGAAGAACACCCGUGGCGAAGGCGGUUUCUCUGGACGGUACUGACGCUGAGACGCGAAAGCGUGGAGCGAACAGG